This 500-nucleotide ribosomal RNA is filed under the name uncultured bacterium. RNAcentral describes it as "partial 16S ribosomal RNA". It matches the Rfam family "Bacterial small subunit ribosomal RNA", at positions 30 to 523 of the family's 1533-position model. The record is from RNAcentral.
AUUGAACGCUGGCGGAAUGCUUUACACAUGCAAGUCGAACGGCAGCACGGACUUCGGUCUGGUGGCGAGUGGCGCACGGGUGAGUAAUGUAUCGGAACGUGCCCAGUCGUGGGGGAUAACGUAGUGAAAAUUACGCUAAUACCGCAUACGAUCUAUGGAUGAAAGCGGGGGAUCGAAAGACCUAGCGCGACUGGAGCGGCCGAUAUCAGAUUAGGUAGUUGGUGGGGUAAAGGCCCACCAAGCCAACGAUCUGUAGCUGGUCUGAGAGGACGACCAGCCACACUGGAACUGAGACACGGUCCAGACUCCUACGGGAGGCAGCAGUGGGGAAUUUUGGACAAUGGGCGAAAGCCUGAUCCAGCCAUUCCGCGUGCAGGAUGAAGGCCCUCGGGUUGUAAACUGCUUUUGUACAGAACGAAAAGGUUUCUACUAAUACUAGGAGCUCAUGACGGUACUGUAAGAAUAAGCACCGGCUAACUACGUGCCAGCCGCCGCCGUAA